GAUGAACGCUGGCGGCGUGCUUAACACAUGCAAGUCGAACGAUGAUGCCCAGCUUGCUGGGUGGAUUAGUGGCGAACGGGUGAGUAACACGUGAGUAACCUGCCCUUGACUCUGGGAUAAGCCUGGUAAACUGGGUCUAAUACCGGAUACGACCAUCUGGCGCAUGUCAUGGUGGUGGAAAGCUUUUGUGGUUUUGGAUGGACUCGCGGCCUAUCAGCUUGUUGGUGGGGUAAUGGCCUACCAAGGCGACGACGGGUAGCCGGCCUGAGAGGGUGACCGGCCACACUGGGACUGAGACACGGCCCAGACUCCUACGGGAGGCAGCAGUGGGGAAUAUUGCACAAUGGGCGCAAGCCUGAUGCAGCGACGCCGCGUGAGGGAUGACGGCCUUCGGGUUGUAAACCUCUUUCAGUAGGGAAGAAGCGAAAGUGACGGUACCUGCAGAAGAAGCGCCGGCUAACUACGUG
This 467-nucleotide ribosomal RNA is filed under the name uncultured bacterium. RNAcentral describes it as "partial 16S ribosomal RNA". It matches the Rfam family "Bacterial small subunit ribosomal RNA", at positions 28 to 507 of the family's 1533-position model. The record is from RNAcentral.